GAUGAACGCUGGCGGCGUGCCUAAUACAUGCAAGUCGAGCGAACGGACGAGAAGCUUGCUUCUCUGAUGUUAGCGGCGGAUGGGUGAGUAACACGUGGAUAACCUACCUAUAAGACUGGGAUAACUUCGGGAAACCGGAGCUAAUACCGGAUAAUAUUUUGAACCGCAUGGUUCAAAAGUGAAAGACGGUCUUGCUGUCACUUAUAGAUGGAUCCGCGCUGCAUUAGCUAGUUGGUAAGGUAACGGCUUACCAAGGCAACGAUGCAUAGCCGACCUGAGAGGGUGAUCGGCCACACUGGAACUGAGACACGGUCCAGACUCCUACGGGAGGCAGCAGUAGGGAAUCUUCCGCAAUGGGCGAACGCCUGACGGAGCAACGCCGCGUGAGUGAUGAAGGUCUUCGGAUCGUAAAACUCUGUUAUUAGGGAAGAACAUAUGCGUAAGUAACUGUGCACAUCUUGACGGUACCUAAUCAGAAAGCCACGGCUAACUACGUGCCAGCAGCCGCGGUAAUACGUAGGUGGCAAGCGUUAUCCGGAAUUAUUGGGCGUAAAGCGCGCGGUAAGCCGGUUUUUAAGUCUGAUGUGAAAGCCCACGGCUCAAUUGUGGAGGGUCAUUGGAAACUGGAAAACUUGAGUGCAGAAGAGGAAAGUGGAAUUCCAUGUGUAGCGGUGAAAUGCGCAGAGAUAUGGAGGAACACCAGUGGCGAAGGCGACUUUCUGGUCUGUAACUGACGCUGAUGUGCGAAAGCGUGGGGAUCAAACAGGAUUAGAUACCCUGGUAGUCCACGCCGUAAACGAUGAGUGCUAAGUGUUAGGGGGUUUCCGCCCCUUAGUGCUGCAGCUAACGCAUUAAGCACUCCGCCUGGGGAGUACGACCGCAAGGUUGAAACUCAAAGGAAUUGACGGGGACCCGCACAAGCGGUGGAGCAUGUGGUUUAAUUCGAAGCAACGCGAAGAACCUUACCAAAUCUUGACAUCCUUUGACAACUCUAGAGAUAGAGCCUUCCCCUUCGGGGGACAAAGUGACAGGUGGUGCAUGGUUGUCGUCAGCUCGUGUCGUGAGAUGUUGGGUUAAGUCCCGCAACGAGCGCAACCCUUAAGCUUAGUUGCCAUCAUUAAGUUGGGCACUCUAGGUUGACUGCCGGUGACAAACCGGAGGAAGGUGGGGAUGACGUCAAAUCAUCAUGCCCCUUAUGAUUUGGGCUACACACGUGCUACAAUGGACAAUACAAAGGGCAGCGAAACCGCGAGGUCAAGCAAAUCCCAUAAAGUUGUUCUCAGUUCGGAUUGUAGUCUGCAACUCGACUACAUGAAGCUGGAAUCGCUAGUAAUCGUAGAUCAGCAUGCUACGGUGAAUACGUUCCCGGGUCU
This 1373-nucleotide ribosomal RNA is filed under the name uncultured bacterium. Its description in RNAcentral is "bacterial SSU rRNA". It matches the Rfam family "Bacterial small subunit ribosomal RNA", at positions 28 to 1381 of the family's 1533-position model. The record is from RNAcentral.